AGCUUUUUAGUGGUGGAUUGUACUUCUCUUGGUCUGUUCCUGGUUAUCAGGAGGGAAAUUGAUUAGUAAUCUUGCUGUGACUUUGACAGUGUAUAAUCGGGAUUUAACUGCUAACAAGAACUCAGUUUCUCAUCUGUGGUCCUUCCCAGACUGGCUUUUCAGGCAACUUAGAUUUUAUCUGCUCCAAUUUCCAAUCUCACUGACUGUAUCUGUAAGCUUCCAGAUAGUCAAUGAAUUAGCAACAUACUAAUGAUCUGUCAAGACUGUUGUUCAAAAGUGUCAUUUAUGUUACUUGUUCAGUAACACCAUCAGAUUUGCAUGGCAAAAGCAAGCAUGGAUACUGGCUUUCAGGACAGAAUUAAGAUGUCAAAAUAGAAAUAUAUCUGAUAUCACCGUGUUUCAUUGAUAACCACCUUCCAUUUUGUACAUCAGGCAAGACAAAAAUUCACUGUACAGCAGCAUGUUUGCCAAUAAAAUUAUAGUUAAUUCUC
Molecule: long non-coding RNA, 491 nt
Organism: Gallus gallus (chicken)
Lineage: Eukaryota; Metazoa; Chordata; Aves; Galliformes; Phasianidae
Source: Ensembl